Molecule: ribosomal RNA, 460 nt
Filed under: uncultured bacterium
Lineage: Bacteria
Description: partial 16S ribosomal RNA
Rfam family: Bacterial small subunit ribosomal RNA
Source: RNAcentral
CCUACGGGUGGCAGCAGUGAGGAAUAUUGGUCAAUGGGCGAGAGCCUGAACCAGCCAAGUCGCGUGAAGGAUGACGGCCCUACGGGUUGAAAGCUUUUUUUGCAAGGGAGAAAUUGGGUCCACGCGUGGGCUUAGCGAGAGUACCUGAAGAAAAAGCAUCGGCUAACUCCGUGCCAGCAGACGCGGUAAUACGGAGGGUGCGAGCGUUAUCCGGAUUGAUUGGGUUUAAAGGAUGCGUAGGCGGAAUAUCAAGUCAGCGGUAAAAAUUCGGGGCUCAACCCCGUCGUGCCGUUGAAACUGAUGUUCUUGAGUGGGCGAGAAGUAUGCGGAAUGCGGGGUGUAGCGGUGAAAUGCAUAGAUAUCACGCAGAACUCCGAUGGCGAAGGCAGCAUGCCGGCGCCCAACUGACGCUGAGGCACGAAAGCGUGGGUAUCGAACAGGAUUAGAUACCCCAGUAGUC